GGAAGGGGUGUAUUUAUUAGAUAAAAAACCAAUGCCCUUCGGGGCUCCUUGGUGAAUCAUAAUAACUUAACGAAUCGCAUGGCCUUGCGCCGGCGAUGGUUCAUUCAAAUUUCUGCCCUAUCAACUUUCGAUGGUAGGAUAGUGGCCUACCAUGGUGGCAACGGGUAACGGGGAAUUAGGGUUCGAUUCCGGAGAGGGAGCCCGAGAAACGGCUACCACAUCCAAGGAAGGCAGCAGGCGCGCAAAUUACCCAAUCCCGACACGGGGAGGUAGUGACAAUAAAUACUGAUACGGGGCUCUUUUGGGUCUCGUAAUUGGAAUGAGUACAAUCUAAAUCCCUUAACGAGGAACAAUUGGAGGGCAAGUCUGGUGCCAGCAGCCGCGGUAAUUCCAGCUCCAAUAGCGUAUAUUAAAGUUGUUGCAGUUAAAAAGCUCGUAGUUGAACCUUGGGUCUGGCUGGCCGGUCCGCCUCACCGCGAGUACUGGUCCGGCUGGACCUUUCCUUCUGGGGAAUCUCAUGGCCUUCACUGGCUGUGGGGGGAACCAGGACUUUUAC
RNAcentral lists this ribosomal RNA (556 nucleotides) under uncultured Aspergillus. RNAcentral's name for it is "SSU rRNA". It matches the Rfam family "Eukaryotic small subunit ribosomal RNA", at positions 194 to 755 of the family's 1831-position model. Lineage: Eukaryota; Fungi; Ascomycota; Eurotiomycetes; Eurotiales; Aspergillaceae. The record is from RNAcentral.